AGCCUUCUGUAUUCGUGCUGAGAUUUCGUCACACACCGAACCACAAGGGCUGAUGAGGAUCCCCAGAUAAGUGAAGCG
This 78-nucleotide microRNA precursor is filed under the name Schistosoma margrebowiei. RNAcentral's name for it is "mir-3492 microRNA precursor family". It matches the Rfam family "mir-3492 microRNA precursor family". The record is from Rfam by way of RNAcentral. Lineage: Eukaryota; Metazoa; Platyhelminthes; Trematoda; Strigeidida; Schistosomatidae.